RNAcentral lists this ribosomal RNA (223 nucleotides) under uncultured bacterium. Its description in RNAcentral is "partial 16S ribosomal RNA". It matches the Rfam family "Bacterial small subunit ribosomal RNA", at positions 127 to 334 of the family's 1533-position model. The record is from RNAcentral.
CGCCCUUCAGAGGGGGACAACAGUUGGAAACGACUGCUAAUACCGCAUACGAUCUAAUCUCGGCAUCGAGGAUAGAUGAAAGGUGGCCUCUAUUUAUAAGCUAUCACUGAAGGAGGGGAUUGCGUCUGAUUAGCUAGUUGGAGGGGUAACGGCCCACCAAGGCGAUGAUCAGUAGCCGGUCUGAGAGGAUGAACGGCCACAUUGGGACUGAGACACGGCCCAG